UGUAACUGAGAUACACACUUCGUAAUCAGUGUAUACAAUUCGCGGUAAAAAGAUGAUCGUUAAUAUGCGAUCUUGGGCGAGAAGAUGGCGACUUCCACGGACGCUAAAGGCGUAACCAAGAAGGCAUCCAGUGAUGGAAUUAUGCGUGAUAUGCAGAACCAAUUGCGUACAGCUCACAUCAAUUUGCCAGAUUUGUCAACGUUAGCACAAAAGGGUGAAGAGCAGUUGGUUGAAAAGUUUCUGUCAGAGAGUGUUGAGGUGAAGGGAGAAACCGGAGAAGUUGUACAAAGUCAGCUGUAUAUUGCUGCAUUUUGGGGCUUUCAUGAUGUUAUUAAAGGGCUGUUAGAUGCUGGAGCUGACAUCAAUUAUCAGAAUAAAAACACGCUGUGGACUCCACUUCAUGCUGCUGCAUUUCAAGAGCACGGAAAGGUUGUAAUGCUGUUACUACAGAAUGGAGCACAACCAGAGCUACCUGAUAUGGAAGGAAGAACACCAACAGACUUUGCUUCGGCCUCAAACAAGAUCUGGGCUCACUUUGCUGCCCUGGGUUGUCCACGCACAUCAAAACAAGAUCUCAUAUCAAAGGGAAUUAUUAAGAAGAUUACCGGGAGUGAUAGUCGACCUGGAAGUGGUUCUCGACCAGGAAGCGGAUCUCGACCUAAUAGUGGAACCAAAAUAGUAUCUGGAAUAAGAAUGGCAUCCUACUCAAGGCCUGAAUCUGCCUAUGCUAUCAGACAAGAUCCAUUCUCUAAGGGAAAGAGUAACAAUUGUAAGUACCGGUAGUAUCAAUUCGCAGUCUUUUGAUCAAAUAUGGAUCAAAUGUGGAAGCACCGUGGUGUAGCGGUUUUGACUCUCGCCUUGUAAUCAGAGGGUCGUGUGUUCGAAUCCCACCAUGGCCUAGCGUCCUUCGGGAAGGCGUAAAUCCACAAUUUGCCACUCUCCACCCAGGUGUUAAAUGGGUACCCGGUAGGAUGCAAAAGCCUAUGUAGUAUGCCUAGCAAUUGAGUCUUGGAACUCGUGUUGGAAUGCUCCCUAGGGAGUGGAGAAGGUGCAUGCAUUGUAUGCGGGCAUGCAAGGAUCCGAUGACCGGGGUAAUAAUAUAUCUGUAAAGCGCUUAGAGACGUUGUUCCGAUGAGUUAAGCACUAUAUAAAAGCGGGAUAUUAUUAUUAUUAUUAAAUAUCACUUUAAAAUUUCUAACACUUCCAGUGCUAUACGGAGUUUUUACAAGCAGCCAUGUUGGAGGACGAAUUAUAAAAACCUUUACAUCAAACCGUGAUAAAUCAUAGCAUUUAUGGUCUAAUGAUGCACAGGUUUCCCAUUGCUAUGUCCUCCAACAUGACUUUGUGAAUUCGGGUGCCUUUUACCUAUCAAUUUGAAAGUUCUAUUUUGAAUAAAUAAAUGAAUGAAUGAAUGAAUCAUAAUAAAUGAAUAAAUCAUAAUAAAUAAAUAAAUAGAUUAAAUAAAUAAAUAAUAACUAAGAAAACAGUGUGGUAAAUGAAUAUAUCAAUUAAAAGGUUAGUAAUAGAUUAAAAAUAAGAGUAAAAAUGUAGCCCUUUAAAAUUAAUUCCAACCCUGGUGUAGAUAGUUUUGAUUCUGAAUGAGUAGUAGUAACCAGGGUAACAUACUUCCAAUUUUCAGCAUCUCAGAUGUCGGCCAUAAUGGGAGGAGAUGUUCUAGCAGAGGAGGAUGUGUCAUCAGCAUCCAGUAAACAUACAGAUGGUCAACCAGCUUUCUCUGUUUGGAGGACAUGAAAACCAAUGCAUGGGACCAAAGUACACUUAUUUUUACAUUGGGAAAAUAUGACUCUAUCCCUGCUCCAAAAUAUCCUUUUUAUAUUGCCUCUACUGAUCAUGUUUGCCGCUAUUUAUUCACUCGUUCAUUAUGAGAUAAAAGGUCACAGGGGUCAUUAUACAUGAAGCUGAAAUGGUCCUUUAUUGCGAUGACAAAAGGAUCAUUUUGAUCGAUCAAAUGUGCUCAUGUUUGCAUGUAGAAUGGAUAUUAAUCUGAUAGUUAAUGUGAUUUGGGGGUCAGAGGCCACCAAAAAAUGCUUAAGAUGGGCUCAUUCUUGCAGUAAAUGAAGAGCUCUUUUACAGACUGACUUUAAAAAGCAUGGCUCAUUUACAGCAUACAUGUGUGAUACAUUGAAACCUGUAUUAUGAUGACUGCCCAUUGGAAACAAUUAUGAGCAGAUGUUUUUUAUGGACAGAUUCUUGUAAUACAUUUUUUAUUGUGGAGUACAAUGAUUUAUAUAUUUCACAUCAUGCAAUAUUAAAUGAAUAAACUCAACCAAUUGUAUUCUAUAAUUCUUAUUUUUUCUUCUUUAUCGAGCACUCUCAAUCUUGUUGAUAGGAGGGUAUUUCCUUGUAAUUCUGGAGGAGAAAGUUUGUAUUUUCAAGAUAUAAAUUUGCUAUGUCAUUCCUCAAUUUGUAGAAUAUGUUUGUGUGAUUGAUAGAGAUGUGUACUAAUUAGGCUAGAGCCAGCACUUGCUAUGAACACGUACACAGAGGCUCAAAGAAUCUGGUAUUCAAAUAGAACACAUUUGUCAAAAUAUCAAAAAGUCAUGUUCAUUUGACCCAACAACUGAAAUUGUUAAUCUUUAUCAUCUAUAUUAAACUACAGUAGAUUUGAGAUUGAUGUUAGAGGUAUAAUAAGCAUUGCUCAUUUCUAGUCCACAGCCGUUGAUUUUUAUGAUUUCUCCUGCAAAAAUAAGGCCGGUAUGAUAUGCUUUAUUUGUCCUUGCUGAGGUUAAUUUGCUACAAUGUAGCUCAAACGUGCAGGUCACAUCACAAUCACAGAGAGUGCUUGCGCUUACUAUGCCAAACAAAAAUGCAUUAUUUGGCAACCUCUUUGUACGGGAGACAUUGAUAGACUACAUGAAGAAAUAUGAUAUACUAAAUCAUAUUCCCAUAGUUUAAUUUCUUCUACUGGUUACAUGUAGUUAGGUUUAAAUUUUAACAUCCUAAUGUCUCUAGAGUAUUAGGGCCCCAUUUCAUAAAAAGUUGCUAUGAUUGCAACUCUUGCUGGAAUGUUAAAUUUUAUUGGAAGAGCGAAUCAAAAAGCGAAUUUCCACUGUUUUCAUGUUUUCAAUUCUAUAUAAAUUGGGGCCCCAGAGUAUAAUAAAGUAUUAUGUUUGAUCCAAUCAAUCUCAGCUGUGUGGAAAUCCAUCCAUACCAUAAUUUUUUUCCACAGAAAAUUAGCUCAAUCUCUUUAGUAUUAAACAAAGAGAAUCACACUGAAUCUUCAAGAGAAAGUAUGAAUAUAGAUCAUGUCUAGAAAAUAUUUUGAACAAACAUGCAUAAUAGAUGUUGACAUUGCUGGCUUUCCAUAGUUGUGGUUGAUUGGAUCAAUCGCAACUCUGUAAUAGUGUGGGCGCGUCGUGGUCUAGUGGUUCUGACUCUUGCCUUUCAAACAGAGGAUCAUGGGUUCGAAUCCUAGCCAUGGCGUGUUUUCCUUCAGCAAGAAAAUUAUCCACACUGUGCUGCACUCAACCCAGGUGAGGUGAAUGGGUACCCGGCAGGAUUAAUUCCUUGAUUGCUUGAGUGCCUAGGCAGCCCAGCUAAAGCCGGGGUAAUAAUAGCAGGGCUCGCUGGGAGAACAGUUUUCGGAACUGAAGUGGCUACCCUGGGUAAAUAUACCGCUAUUAUUAUUAUUAUUAUGUAAUACGGGGCCCAGAUGUCCAUAGCUAUGCUUUUUUCUAGACGAUAGUAUUUCAAUGUAAGUACUCCAGGGGCCUAUAACACAAAACUUUAUAGCGAUUGAUCGCACAGUAUACUUGAUUGCACAACAGAACAUUGUUUUCAAGCAAUAAAAUAGUGAUUGAUCGUUGGGUUAAUUCCUUUGAUUGAUUGCAUGUACUACUUAAAAAUCUGCCCCAAGAUCAAUCACCUAGCUUUAGCUUUGUGGGGGCGUCACAGUCUAGUGGUUACAAAUCUUGUCUUUCAAUCUGAGGGACGUGGGUUCGAAUCCCAGCCAUGGUGUGUUUUCCUUAGGCAAGAAAUUUACCCACGUUGUGCUGCGGUCAACCCAGGUGAGGUGAAUGGGUACCCGACAGGAUUACACUGUAGUUCCUUGAAUGCACCAAGCGCCUUUAGCAGCUGGAGCUAAAGCUGGGGUAAUAUAUAGUGCGCCAUUGAAUAGGCAACUAAAAUAAUCGGUGCCUCAUAAGUGCUAUAUAUUAUUAUUAUUAUGAUGUUACGGGCCCCAGGUGUGAAGCUACAUGUUACUGGGACAAGAUGAAUAUUCCGUUCAAGAAAAAUUAGAUGAUACAAGAAGUACGUCCUGAUGUAUCUCUCAGAAAGUUUUGUGCUAUGUAUAAUUUUUGAUCCGUCCUUUUGAUAAAGUACCAUAGUUUCUGUGAUGUACUACUAUUUUUAUGAGGGUGACUUCGUUUGUUUGAUUUUUUCUAAAACAUUUGUCACAAAUGGCUUUUGCUUUGCUGGACAAGGUCAAAAGGUGUUUUGCACAAGAAACUAUUUUGAAUAUCAUGAUUUAAAUCUGGGAUAAAUUCUCUGAGUGUCAGUAGUUAAAGGCUACCUUUAUUCAUAUAAGAAUAUUCAAGGAUUUCAAGCACUAUUGAAAAGAAAUCAUACAAUUGUGUUCUUAAUCAUUGAUAUAUGUGCUAUUGGCAUAACUGACCGAACAUGUCCAGUUCUACUUUUUCUACUACUUUAAUAAAGACAUUUAUAAAAACAUAUCCACCGUAUUAAGGGUGCUCAUUACAAUUACAGCACAAAUUACUUCAAGAAAAUGUCCUAAUGAAUUUACCUCAUACGAUAUAUUGUGCAUUUCAAGAUGUUACAAUUGCCAUUUUAUACAGUGACUUCAGUAUCUGCAUUUAUAGAUAUCACCAAACAGAUAUGACUAAAUGUUUAUUUAUAAAAUCUGUUUCUGUGUGGUAUGUCACGUGGCAGUGAUCAAUACAUGUACAUUUGAUGGUUGAUUAAUUGAUAAUUGUGUAUCUUUGUAGAUGGAGCCCAUUCAUGUCUCAAAUACCAUAGUGAUUAGUACAAUGCAUUAUUCAGUAGGAUGUGACUUUGCUUUUACUGUAGAAUGUGCCAUAAUACACACUUAUCGUUGUGUUACUGAAAUAUUUUCAGUGAAUAUUAUUUUCAAAAUUUGAAUGAAUUCAGAAGGCUUUAGAUUUUUGGAUCAUUGUGUCACUGCCAACUUGGAAAAAACUUGUCUAUUUGCGAGUGAAAAUUUGUGUUCAUGCACCCAACAGUGCCUUUUGCACUCAAAAGGCUGCUAACUUUUGCGUCAUGUCUGAACAACCCUUCAGGAUCUGCUCAUUGUCUUUGAUUCAUUCUUUAUGAUGUCUGGAUUGAAAUGGGAUACUUUAAGGAUUUUUUCUUCUCUUUAUAAUGCAUCAGCGAUCUGUGACACAAAUCUUAGCGAUUGAUUGAUUUUAAAUGAUUGUUAGCGAUUGAUUGUACAUUAUAUAGUCAGUGCAAUCGGUCAUUAAGAAUUGUUUGACAAUAGAUCACUACUCUUUGUGUUACAGGCCCCUGAUGUUAAUGUGUGUGUGAAGAUACUUGUAUUAUAGUAUUUAUUGUCCAAGAAGCAUCAUGAAAAUCACUAUUUUUGUUGCUAUGAUUUUGACUUGUAAAUAAAACAUAGAAUAUGCUCUAACAA
This is an RNA transcript of Lytechinus pictus (painted urchin), 5632 nucleotides long. It is a transcript of the gene named poly [ADP-ribose] polymerase tankyrase-2-like, with no coding region annotated. NCBI's taxonomy places the organism in Eukaryota, Metazoa, Echinodermata, Echinoidea, Temnopleuroida, Toxopneustidae. The transcript has 8 exons. The record is from RefSeq and is a predicted model, not a curated record.